This 429-nucleotide ribosomal RNA is filed under the name Actinomycetes bacterium. RNAcentral's name for it is "Actinobacteria bacterium partial 16S ribosomal RNA". It matches the Rfam family "Bacterial small subunit ribosomal RNA", at positions 355 to 776 of the family's 1533-position model. Lineage: Bacteria; Bacillati; Actinomycetota; Actinomycetes. The record is from RNAcentral.
UAGGGAAUCUUCCGCAAUGGGCGAAAGCUUGACGGAGCAACGCCGCGUGAGUGAUGAAGGUCUUCGGAUCGUAAAAAUCUGUUAUUAGGGAAGAACAAAUGUGUAAGUAACUAUGCACGUCUUGACGGUACCUAAUCAGAAAGCCACGGCUAACUACGUGCCAGCAGCCGCGGUAAUACGUAGGUGGCAAGCGUUAUCCGGAAUUAUUGGGCGUAAAGCGCGCGUAGGCGGUUUUUUAAGUCUGAUGUGAAAGCCCACGGCUCAACCGUGGAGGGUCAUUGGAAACUGGAAAACUUGAGUGCAGAAGAGGAAAGUGGAAUUCCAGGUGUAGCGGUGAAAUGCGCAGAGAUAUGGAGGAACACCAGUGGCGAAGGCGACUUUCUGGUCUGUAACUGACGCUGAUGUGCGAAAGCGUGGGGAUCAAACAGG